RNAcentral lists this ribosomal RNA (253 nucleotides) under uncultured bacterium. RNAcentral's name for it is "partial 16S ribosomal RNA". It matches the Rfam family "Bacterial small subunit ribosomal RNA", at positions 524 to 776 of the family's 1533-position model. The record is from RNAcentral.
UACGUAGGGUCCGAGCGUUGUCCGGAAUUACUGGGCGUAAAGAGCUCGUAGGUGGUUUGUCGCGUUGUUCGUGAAAACUCACAGCUCAACUGUGGGCGUGCGGGCGAUACGGGCAGACUAGAGUACUGCAGGGGACACUGGAAUUCCUGGUGUAGCGGUGGAAUGCGCAGAUAUCAGGAGGAACACCGGUGGCGAAGGCGGUUCUCUGGGCCUUACCUGACGCUGAGGAGCGAAAGCGUGGGGAGCAAACAGG